RNAcentral lists this long non-coding RNA (357 nucleotides) under Parus major (Great Tit). RNAcentral describes it as "lncRNA (ENSPMJG00000017721.1)". Lineage: Eukaryota; Metazoa; Chordata; Aves; Passeriformes; Paridae. The record is from RNAcentral.
AUCUGAGAAACAAAUGCAAACCCUAUUUCAUGAUCAAAGUUCAUAAAAAAGGAGUUUCAAAACAAAUUGUUUUGCCAUUCCAACAAAAAUGAACAUAUGGGAUGCUUUGGAAACAAAAAAAUGACAAAUUUUCACCUAGAUCUCGUAACAGACACUUCAGAUGAAGGCUUUCUCAGGUAUCCAGUUGUAAUUAUUCAUCCUAUUCAUAGAAUCAUUUUAAUGACAAAGCAACUUAACUAUCUAAUCACAUCAUCGCUGCUCUGCUUUUAUGGAAAUAUGAUGAUUAUGCUAAGAAGCAUUUUCAAAAGGUGGUGUGCAUCCUGGUUUCCAGCAGAUCCAUGAUACAGCAUUCACUCA